RNAcentral lists this ribosomal RNA (449 nucleotides) under uncultured organism. Its description in RNAcentral is "partial 16S ribosomal RNA". It matches the Rfam family "Bacterial small subunit ribosomal RNA", at positions 334 to 799 of the family's 1533-position model. The record is from RNAcentral.
CACUCCUACGGGAGGCAGCAGUGGGGAAUAUUGGACAAUGGGCGCAAGCCUGAUCCAGCCAUGCCGCGUGAGUGAUGAAGGCCCUAGGGUUGUAAAGCUCUUUCACCGGAGAAGAUAAUGACGGUAUCCGGAGAAGAAGCCCCGGCUAACUUCGUGCCAGCAGCCGCGGUAAUACGAAGGGGGCUAGCGUUGUUCGGAAUUACUGGGCGUAAAGCGCACGGAGGCGGAUCGAUCAGUCAGGGGUGAAAUCCCAGGGCUCAACCCUGGAACUGCCUUUGAUACUGUCGAUCUGGAGUAUGGAAGAGGUGAGUGGAAUUCCGAGUGUAGAGGUGAAAUUCGUAGAUAUUCGGAGGAACACCAGUGGCGAAGGCGGCUCACUGGUCCAUUACUGACGCUGAGGUGCGAAAGCGUGGGGAGCAAACAGGAUUAGAAACCCUUGUAGUCCCAUG